UACGUAGGCAGCAAGCGUUGUUCGGAGUUACUGGGCGUAAAGAGCAUGUAGGCGGUUGGGCAAGUUUGGUGUGAAAUCUCCCGGCUUAACUGGGAGGGUGCGCUAAAGACUGCCUGGCUCGAGUGUGGGAGAGGAAAGCGGAAUUCCUGGUGUAGCGGUGAAAUGCGUAGAUAUCAGGAGGAACACCUGCGGUGUAGACGGCUUUCUGGACCAUAACUGACGCUGAGAUACGAAAGCGUGGGUAGCAAACAGG
Molecule: ribosomal RNA, 253 nt
Filed under: uncultured bacterium
Lineage: Bacteria
Description: partial 16S ribosomal RNA
Rfam family: Bacterial small subunit ribosomal RNA
Source: RNAcentral